AUUUUUCCCAAUUUUUCCCAAUUUUUCCCAUUUUUUUCCCCAUUUUUUUCCCCAUUUUUUUGGCGUUUUUGACUCCGUUUUUCCUUCCCCUUCGUUGCUCCCUAUGGGUGCUCAAGGGGGGGAAAUUUGGGAAAAUCCCCUCAAAAUAACCUGGAAUGAAUUCCCAACUUUUCCCUCAUUUUUCCCAAUUUUUCCCAAUUUUUCCCAAUUUUUCCCGAUUUUUUUCCCCAAUUUUUUUUGCAUUUUUGGCUCCGUUUUUCCUUCCCUUCGUUGCUCCCUAUGGGUGCUCAAGGGGGUGAAAUUUGGGAAAAUCUCCCCAAAAAUAACCUGGAAUGAAUUCCCAACUUUUCCCCGAUUUUUCCCAUUUUUUCCCCAAUUUUUCCCAAUUUUUCCCCAGUUUUUCCCAAUUUUUUCCCAAUUUUUUCCCCAUUUUUUCCCCAUUUUUUUCUCCUUUUUUCCCCAUUUUUUCCCAAUUUUUCCCCAAUUUUUCCAGAUUUUUUUCCCAAUUUUUUCCUCAUUUUUCCAGGUUUUUUUUCCCAAUUUCCCCCCAUUUUUCCCAAUUUUUUUCUCAUUUUUCCCCAUUUUUUCCCCAUUUUUUUCCCCAAUUUCUCCCCAAAUUUUUCCCAAUUUUUCCUUUUUUCCCAAUUUUUUUCCCCAUUUUUCCCCCAGUUUUUUUCCCAAUCCUCCUCCACAUUUUUCCCAAUUUUUCCCAAGUUUUUACUCAUUUUCCCAGUUUUUCCCCAAUUUUCCUCCAUAUUUUCCCAAUUUCCCCCGAAUUUUUUUCCCAUUUCGUCCCCAGUUUUUCCCAUUUUUUUUCCCCAAUUUUCCUCAUUUUUUCCCAUUUCUUCCCCAAUUUUCCCAGAAUUUUUUCCCCAUUUUUUUUACCAUUUUUUCCCAAUUUUUUCCCCAUUUUUUCCCCAUUUUUUCCCCAUUUUUUCCCAGUUUUUUCCCAGUUUUUCCCAAUUUUUUCCCAUUUUUUCCCAAAUUUUUCCCAAUUUUUUUUCUCAGUUUUUCCCAAUUUUUUCAGAUUUUUUUCCCAUUUUUUUUUGCGGGAUUUUCCCAUUUUUUCCCCAUUUUUUCCCAAUUUUACCCAAAUUUUUCCCAAUUUUCUUUCUCAGUUAUUCCAAAUUUUUUCAGAUUUUUUUCCCUUUUUUUUUUGCGGGAUUUUCCCAAUUUUUCCCCCAAUUUUUCCUUUAUUUUUCCUUUAUUUUUCCCCAAUUUUCCCCAACUUUUUCCUCAAUAUUUCCCAAUUUUUUCAGAUUUUUUUCCCAUUUUUUUGCCAGAUUUUCCCAAUUUUUUUUCCAUUUGUCCCAAAUUUUUCCCCUUUUUUUUUGCAGGAUUUUCCCAAAUUUUUUCCCAAUUUUCCCCUUUUUCCCCCCAAUUUUUUCCCCCAUUUUUUUCCCAAUUUUUCCCCAUUUUUCCCAAUUUUCCCAUUUUUUUCCCCAUUUUCCCUCCCCAUUUUUGCUCCCUGUGGGUGCUCAGGGUGGGAAAUUUGG
Molecule: long non-coding RNA, 1496 nt
Filed under: Cyanistes caeruleus (blue tit)
Lineage: Eukaryota; Metazoa; Chordata; Aves; Passeriformes; Paridae
Description: lncRNA (ENSCCEG00000007898.1)
Source: RNAcentral